GUCCAGGCCAGUGCUUAAGCCAAUGGAGAAGGGAGGAGGUAAGGAAGUUGGAGUCAAAGAGGCAGUCUUGGGUGAGCAAAUUAUAGACCUUGUAAGAACAUGUCCUUAAAACUUUUCAAUUCUUGCUCUGUAUUAUAAGUAAAAUAAUUCAGGCUAUCUAUCUUACUGAAUAUUUUAAAGAUGAGUCUGUUUUUAUUAUGUUUUAAUUGUUCGAUUCAUUUAUAUCAUUUAAUUGGUAGAAUUCUGUUUUUAUUUUUACUUAUACAAAACACACAGAGUCAAGUUCUCCUAAGUCAAAACAGAAGAGAGAGUGAGAAAAAAUUCCCUUUUGAAUAGAAAAACAAGAGUUUUUUCUUUCUUUCUUUGCAUAUCAUAUGGUUUAAUAAAUUUUAUUCAAGUACUUAAACAAUUGAAAAGAAAUAGCAUUGAGUGCAAUCAUGUAGGUGUUUGCAAAGUUCUGAAAACUAUUUGGCUAUAGUAUUGUGUAAGAAAACUGUCAUGCAAAAGUGAAAGCAAUAUUUUUUAAGGGUAAAUAAACCAGGUAUCAUAGCAGACACCGUGGAUCACUAAGAUGAAACAGUUAUAGGUUCUGUUUUAGGAACAUUCGUCUUGUAGAGGUAAGAAGACUGCUUCAAGAAUCUUCCUGACCACUAACCUUGGUUGGAUCACUCUCUUCUCUGCUUGAACAUCACUGUUUUCCCCCCUUCAUUAAAUCUGCUUCAUAAAUUGAAGCAAUCCAUUUAUUUGUCUGUUGUACCCACUAGACCAUAAACCCCUUGAAGGCAGGAAUGAUGCCCUACUCCUUACAAGAGACUAUGUGAAAGGCAGGACAUAGAAACUUAACAGGCAGAGUAUAAUUAUACCAUAGGAAAUUUGUCGCAUUUUAUCAUUCAGAGGUACUGAUACGGUUUGGCUCUGUGUUCCCACCCAAUGUGGAAUUUUAAUCCGCAUAUGUCAGGGGAGGGACCUGGUGGGAGAUGAUUAGAUCAUGGAGGAGGAUUUCCCCCA
RNAcentral lists this long non-coding RNA (1008 nucleotides) under Homo sapiens (human). RNAcentral describes it as "non-protein coding LINC02541:38". Lineage: Eukaryota; Metazoa; Chordata; Mammalia; Primates; Hominidae. The record is from RNAcentral.